RNAcentral lists this long non-coding RNA (6469 nucleotides) under Homo sapiens (human). RNAcentral describes it as "HSALNT0024005". The record is from RNAcentral. Lineage: Eukaryota; Metazoa; Chordata; Mammalia; Primates; Hominidae.
AGGUGAGGUGUGGCAAAAUUAAAAAGAAAAAAAGAAGAAAAGUAUAACGCAGUUCAUUUCCAAAAGUCCAGAUACUUUCUGUGAUUCAUAUAGAGAUGUAACUAUUCCUUCAAAUGUAUCAUUGUGAGGUUAUAUUUUUCUUCAGUAUAAAUUCUGCUUUUUAACAUAAGAAGGAUACCCCAUUCUGGUUGCAUUCUGUUUAACUAAGAGUUGUCAUUUGUUUUGUUAUUUAAUUACCCAUUUUCAAAGACUUAGAAAACAGUAAAGUACAUUGACCAUAAAAACCUCCCCUAAAUUAGCUGGGCAUGGUGGCAUGUGCCUGUAGUCCCAGCUACGCGGGAGGCUGAGGCAGGAGAAUCGCUUGAACCUGGGAAGUAGAGGUUGCAAUGAGCCAAAAUCGCACCACUGCACUCCAGCUUGGGCGACAGAGGGAGACUCCAUCUCAAACAAACAAAUAAACAAACAAACAAAAAACCUCCCUGUACACCAUUUCAACUCUUGAAUAAUACACCAGGUCUAUAGUAGAAUUUUCUCUUCUGUUUUGCUCUUUUGGCAGGACUCUGUGUUUAUUUGGCGCCAAAUAGGCUUUUGAUUCAGGAAGGACGUAUGAAUUAGGAAUGCACUUGGCUGUGAUUAACAGCAAGUCUGUCAGCAUUAGAUUGUUAUGGUUAAAAGUCUGGUUGUAGGAAGUUUAGGCUACUACAGCAGCUCCUCAAGUUUGCAAUCAAAGGCACAGGUUCUUUCCAGCUUCUACUCUGCUCUUCCUAACAUGUGGCUUUUGUCCUCCUAAUUGCAAGAUAAAUGCUUUACAUUCAGAUUCCUCGCAGAAAUAAAGGUGAAAGUUAAAGGCCAAUGGGCUUUCUCCAAAUCAAAUAUUACUCAGGAAAGAACACGCUCUCCAGGUAAAUCUGCCCAUACCUUAUGGACCCAAACUGUGCCCCAUGGCAAACCCUAGCUGGAAGGAGAUCUGAGCAAAUAAGUAUUUUUAGUUCAGCACAUUGACACCCCCAAUAAAAUAUGGUUCUCUUUUCUCUUAGAAAGUAUGUGGAAAUUGGAUAGCUAGCCAGAAUAUCUGCCACAUAGGAUGAUUGUAUUCUCUUUAUCCUAGGAAAGUCUCAGUUGAAGAAGAUAGAAAGGCUUUCAAGGAAAAAUAGAAUGGAAGGAGAAGUGCAAUACACAUUUUUUAGCCAAAUAAAAUUGCUGUAAGUUGAGUUGUUUUGAUGACUGUAAACAGUACUAUUUCUUUUGUAGAUUGUCCUUUUCUGCGACAUCACUGAUCUGAAUUGCAAGAGACACAAGUACACACGCAAGUCACAGCCAACUGAAAGCAAAGCAAGGGUUAAGGACACUGAGUAAUUGCUCCUGGACAAGGCUAAGAGGACUAUGGGUCAUCCAGGACAGCCCAGUUCUACUGAGCCACCUUAAUGAAGAGUGAACAGUCCUGCCUUAGACCUGGGUAUGAGAGGCUACCACCCCAGUACUUAUGCUUGAAAGGGUCCCACUCCGGCUAUCCUCCAGCGAGAACUCCUCUCCAUGGGUCCAGGAGUCAGCAGAGCCAAGGACACAACCCCAGUGGCUGCUGUCCCCCUCGAGGCCACACUCCAGGAACCAGAGUGCUGGAAUUCCCUGCCACCAAUCCAGGUGCACUCCUUCAACCUACACAGGACUCUCUCUAGGCCCUUCCAUCCAAGUGUUUGAAGAGUAGCCAAGAGGCAGCUUUUAUUGGGACCAGAGCUUGGACAAAUGAGCUGUGCUACCACACAAGGGUGUGAGGGCCCUCUGAUUCUGGACAGUGUAGAAGGAAGGUGGGCCAGGGGUCAUGUCUCUUCACAUUCUGGUGCAAGACUCCAUUGGUCCAAAAAUUUUACAUUUAAAUCUAGCCUUCCAUGACACUAUGUCAGGGUAGAACAUAUUGCACUUAAUGGUUUAAGAGCUUCACUAAUCAUUUUCAAAUAUUUAGGCAUCAACAUGCCUUCAUUUCUAUUUCCCCUCCAGGUCCCACUCCUGUCCUACAAUAAUCAUCAUCCUCAAUACACAUAUUUUGAAAAUGUAGAUUAUUAUAUUAGAUCUUGCUGAAAGCAGCACUCAGUUCAAUAAAAGUAGCAUACACACAUUUUUAUUCUUUCUUUCUUUUUUUUUUUGGAUGGAGUUUUGCUCAUGUUGCCCAGGCUGGAGUGCAAUGACACAGUCUUAGCUCACUGCAAUCUCCACCUCCCAGGUUCAAGAGAUUGUCCUGCCUCAGCCUCCCAAGUAGCUGGGAUUACAGGCACGUACCAUCACACGCGGCUAAUUUUUUUUUUUAUUUUUAGUGGAGACGUGGUUUCACUAUGUUGGCCAGGCUGGUCUCGAACUCCUGACCUCAGGUGAUCCACCCGCCUCGGCCUCCCAAAGUGCUGGGAUUACAGGCGUGAGCCACCAUGCCUGGCCCACACAUUUUUAUUCUAAACAUUUCCUUGAAUAGUACCUCUUUAUCUUCAUGAAUGUAGUAGGGCACACAGGUGAAUUGUUUUCUAUGCCUGUGACAAGGGACAAUUUGAAAGUAAUGAAGCAUAGCACAUUAAACGCCUUUCUUCAAAGGAAUCUAUGAAGCUUGGCCUAAAAUCCUGUGGUUCUCUGUUUCAACACAAUCUCAUAUCUUUUAAAUUCUGUUUGUAAACUAUUUUUUUAAUUUUUUGAGAGCAUGUCAGUGAAUAAAUUAUUUUAGCCAAUUCAUAGAUAAACUGAGCUUCAAAGAAAGCAUAAGGUAUUACUCUGUCUCUAACAACAUUGUGUCCUGGGCCAUGAAGUCAGAACUAGGACAUGAAGUAUAAAUUAAAGAUAAAACUCCUCUAUGAGAACCUGGCUUUCUGCAUGCAGGCUGGACUUCCCAGAGCCAUUUCCCUAACUUUCCAUGGCUUCUGCAUUCUGGAGCCAUCUGUGCUCAGCGCCGCUCCAGGUCAAGGGCUGUGUCAGCAGCAUGUGAUGCUGAGAUUCCAAGUGGGGGCAGAUCCGCUUGAAACUGGGCUUUGCUGAAAUAGAUCAAUUCUUUUUAAUUAUAUUUUGACCAAGCGUGCAUAAAUAAAUUUCAUCAUUUUGGCAUCCACAUCACUCAUCUCUGUCAAUACCAUAUUCCCAACACUGGCAGAGCUGCCUGUGACUAAGCUUGACGCAUAUGCUCCCUGGACCUUACACCACUGUGGCAGCCAUGACAUGAAUUUUAUUUUGUGAAAUAUUUAUAACAUUUCCCACCACCAUCAUCAUUCAAUGGGGGGCUUUGGCAGCCUGCCACAGAGACAGAACCAAAGGGAAAGUGACUUCUGUGUGAGAAUGGUAGGUGCUUUUUGUGUGUAUGUUGGGAGGGGGUGCCUUUCAGCUUCUUUCUAAAGUCUGAGAUUAUCUACUAUUUAGAAUUAGUUAUACCAUCUCUCACCCACUAACUGAAUAUGUAAGUGGCUCAGGGAAUUAGUAAUCAUAGUCCCAGAUUUUCAUUUCUCUUACCCACAUUGAGUUUCAAUUAUGUACAUUGUGUCAAUAGGGACGUCAUAUUUUUCUGAAGAGUUGUAAUGAAGUGGGCUUUGUGAAUCUGCAGUCAUUGAACCUAGAUAUUUGUAGGGCUUCCCCGUUUUAUCACACCACUCCUGCCUUAAGAGGUACUUCCUGACCAUCCACUUUAAAUUACACCUUUCUGCAGUCAGUGCUAUGGCAUCACCCUGCUCUGUUGUCUCAGUGGUAUUUAUCACUAUCCAAAAUUUCAUGGAAUACUUAUUUGUUUGCUUUUUGUUUUCUCCAUUCCAAUCCCACUACAUUCAGACAUUUUAGUUAUGAAGUCCUAUUAUGAAGAAGGACCUCCUGUAUCUUCUAAAAAAUGUAACAGCUUUAUUGAGAUAUAAUUCACAUAUCAUACAAUUCAUCCAUUUAAAGUGGACACUUAGAUGGUCUUUGGUAUAUUCAGAGUUGUGCAACCAUCACCACAAUGAAUUUUAGAACAUUUUCAUCAUUCCAGAAGAAAACUCACACAUCAGCCCUCUCUCCUCAUUCUUCCAACCCCUUUCCCUAAUUUCUAACCAACUCUUCAUCUACUUACUGUCUCUUUAGAUUGGCCUAUUCUGGAUAUCUCACAUAAAUGGAAUACACAAUAUGGGGUCUUCUGUGUCUGGCUUCUUUUAUUUAGUACAAUGUUUCAACAUCCUAACAUGAUAUCAGUACAGUCAUCCCUGGUCCCUAGGUAUCUGUGGGGGAUUGGUUCUAGGACACCUUGUGGAUACCCAAAUCCACAGAUGCUCAAGCCUGUUAUAUAAAAUGGUAUAAUAUUUGCAUAUAACCUAUGCACAUCCUCCUAUUCUCCUAUAUACUUUAAGUCAUCUCUAGAUUACUUAUAAUGCCUAAUAAAGUGUAAAUGCUAUGUAAAUAGUUAUAUCGUAUUUUUAAAAUUUGUAUUAUAUUUAUUGUUGGUUGCUAUUUUUUAUUGUUUUUUAAAAUAUUUUCAAUCUGCAUUUGGUUGAAUCUGUGGAUGUGGAACCCACAGAAAGGGAGAGCUGAUUGUACUUCAUUCCACUGCAUGACUGUAUCACACUUUAUUUAUUCAAUAAUCAGUCAAUGACAUUUGGAUUAUUUCCACUUUUUGGCUGUUAUGAAUAAUGUGCUAUGAACUUUCAUGUACAAGUUUUUGUGUUGACAUAUGCUUUCAUUUCCCUUGGGUAUACACCUAAGAGUGAAACUGCUGGGUCAUAUAGCAACUCCAUAUUUAACCCUUUAAGGAUCUGCCAGAUUGCUUUAGAAAGUGGCUGCACCAUGUUGCAAUUUCCCUGCCUCCUUACCAACACUUAUUAUUAUCUGUCUUUUUUAUUAUAGCCAUCCUCAAGUGUGUGAAGGAGUAUCCUAUUGUAGUUUUAACUUGCAUUUCUCUGAUGGUUAAUGAGAUUGAGCAUUUCAUCAUGUGCUUAUUAGCCAUUUGUAUAUUUUCUUUGCAGAAAUAUCUGUCAGAUCCUUUGUACAUUUUUAAAUUAGAUUUUCCAAUUUAUAUGUUAUAAGAAUUCUUUAUAUAUCAAGAUACAAGUCAUUUGCCAGACUUAUAAUUUGGAAAUAUAUUCUCCCAUUUUGUGAAGUUUCUUUUCUUUUCUUUUUUUCUUCAACUUUUAUUUUAAGUUCUUGGGUACAUGUGCAGGAUAUGCAGGUUUGUUACAUAGGUAAACGUGUGCCAUGGUGGUUUGUGGCACAGAUCAACCCAUCUGUGUAUUAAGCCCAGCAUCCAUUGGCUAUUCUUCCUGAUACUCUCCCUCCCCCUGCCCCCUGACAGGUCCCAGUGUGUGUUGUUCCCCACCACGUGUCCAUGGGUUCCCAUUGUUCAGCUCCCACUUAUAAGUGAGAACGUGUGGUGUCUAGUUUUCUGUUCCUGUGUUAGUUUGCUGAGGAUAAUGACUUCCAGCUCCAUCCAUGUCUCUGCAAAGGAUAUGAUCUCAUUCCUUUUUAUAGCUGCAUAGUAUUCCAUGGUGUAUAUGUACCACAUUUUCUUUUCUAUCAUUGAUGGGCAUUUGGGUUGAUUCCAUGUCUUUGCUAUUGUGACUAAUGCUGCAAUGAACAUAUGCAUGCAUGUAUCUUUGUAUUAGAAUAAUUUAUAUUCCGUUGGAUAUAUACCCAGUAAUGGGAUUGCUGGGUCAAAUGGUAUUUCUGCUUCUAGAUCUUCCACAAUGGUUGAAUUAAUUUACACUCCCACCAACAGUGUGCAAGUGUUCCUUUUUCUCUGCCACCUCACCAGCAUCUGUUGCUUCUUGACUUCUUAAUAAUUGCCAUUCUGACUGGUGUAAGAUGGUAUCUCAUUUUGGUUUCGAUUUGCAGUUCUCUAAUAAUUAGUGUUGUUGAGCUUUUUUUUCAUAUUUUUUUUGGCUGCAUGAAUGUCUUCUUUUGAGAAGUGUCUGUUCAUGUGCUUUGCCUAGUUUUUAAUGGGGUUGUUUGUUUUUUUCUUGUAAAUUUGUUUAAGUUAUUUGUCAACUCUGGAUACUAGACCUUAGUCAGAUGGAUAGAUUGUGAAAAUGUUCUCCCAUCCUGUAGGUUGUUUUCUCUUUCUUGAUGAUGUUCUUUGAAGCACAACAAUUUUUCACUUUGAUGAAGUUAAAUUUAUCUACUUUUUAUUUUGUCACUUGUGCUUUUGGUGUCAUAUAUAAGAAGGCUUUGCUUAACCCAAGGGCAUGAAGAUUUACUCUUAUGCUUUUUUCUAAGUUUUAUAGUUGUAGCCUUUUCAUUUAAACCUAUUAUUUAUUUUAAGUUAAUUUUUGUGUAUGGUAUGAGAGGAGUCAUUUAUCUUUUUUAUCAUUUCUCAGUGCCUAGAGUGUUUGGAACAUAAUAGAUGCCUUAUGAAUAUUUCGUGAGUGAAAGAUUCCAUGAUGAGAAAAAUGGUAUUCGCCUCAUGACGAAUGAUAUUCAGCAUAUUUUCAUGUGCCUGUUUCUUAUUUCUACAUACCUUUCUGGGAAGUGUCUUCUAAUAUUUUGCCCU